Molecule: transfer RNA, 85 nt
Filed under: Hypoxylon sp. EC38
Lineage: Eukaryota; Fungi; Ascomycota; Sordariomycetes; Xylariales; Hypoxylaceae
Also listed under: 1 other name
Description: tRNA-Arg
Rfam family: tRNA
About the family: Transfer RNA (tRNA) molecules are approximately 80 nucleotides in length. Their secondary structure includes four short double-helical elements and three loops (D, anti-codon, and T loops). Further hydrogen bonds mediate the characteristic L-shaped molecular structure. tRNAs have two regions of fundamental functional importance: the anti-codon, which is responsible for specific mRNA codon recognition, and the 3' end, to which the tRNAs corresponding amino acid is attached (by aminoacyl-tRNA synthetases). tRNAs cope with the degeneracy of the genetic code in two manners: having more than one tRNA (with a specific anti-codon) for a particular amino acid; and 'wobble' base-pairing, i.e. permitting non-standard base-pairing at the 3rd anti-codon position.
Source: RNAcentral
GGUCCGUUGGCCCAAUGGUAAGGCGUCUGACUACGACUGCAAAUAGUUAAUCAGGAGAUUCUGGGUUCGACCCCCAGGCGGACCU